AUUGAACGCUGGCGGAAUGCUUUACACAUGCAAGUCGAGCGGCAGCGCGGGGGCAACCCUGGCGGCGAGCGGCGAACGGGUGAGUAACAUAUCGGAACGUACCCUGUCGUGGGGGAUAACUAUCCGAAAGGAUAGCUAAUACCGCAUACGACCUGAGGGUGAAAGCGGGGGACCGCAAGGCCUCGCGCGAUAGGAGCGGCCGAUAUCGGAUUAGCUAGUUGGUGAGGUAAAGGCUCACCAAGGCGACGAUCCGUAGCGGGUCUGAGAGGACGACCCGCCACACUGGAACUGAGACACGGUCCAGACUCCUACGGUAGGCAGCAGUGGGGAAUUUUGGACAAUGGGGGCAACCCUGAUCCAGCCAUUCCGCGUGAGUGAAGAAGGCC
Molecule: ribosomal RNA, 386 nt
Filed under: uncultured bacterium
Lineage: Bacteria
Description: bacterial SSU rRNA
Rfam family: Bacterial small subunit ribosomal RNA
Source: RNAcentral